CCUACGGGUGGCAGCAGUGAGGAAUAUUGGUCAAUGGACGAGAGUCUGAACCAGCCAAGUAGCGUGAAGGAUGACUGCCCUAUGGGUUGUAAACUUCUUUUAUAUGGGAAUAAAAUGUUCCACGUGUGGGAUUUUGUAUGUACCAUAUGAAUAAGGAUCGGCUAACUCGGGGCCAGCAGCGGCGGUAAUACGGAGGAUCCGAGCGUUCCCCGGCUUUAUUGGGUUUAAAGGGAGCGUAGGUGGAUUGUUAAGUCAGUUGUGAAAGUUUGCGGCUCAACCGUAAAAUUGCAGUUGAAACUGGCAGUCUUGAGUACAGUAGAGGUGAGCGGAAUUCGUGGUGUAGCGGUGAAAUGCUUAGAUAUCACGAAGAACUCCGAUUGCGAAGGCAGUUCACUGGACUGCAACUGACACUGAGGCUCGAAAGUGUGGGUAUCAAACAGGAUUAGAUACCCUAGUAGUC
RNAcentral lists this ribosomal RNA (460 nucleotides) under uncultured bacterium. Its description in RNAcentral is "partial 16S ribosomal RNA". It matches the Rfam family "Bacterial small subunit ribosomal RNA", at positions 338 to 795 of the family's 1533-position model. The record is from RNAcentral.